This 72-nucleotide transfer RNA is filed under the name Camelus bactrianus (Bactrian camel). It matches the Rfam family "tRNA". Rfam says of the family: Transfer RNA (tRNA) molecules are approximately 80 nucleotides in length. Their secondary structure includes four short double-helical elements and three loops (D, anti-codon, and T loops). Further hydrogen bonds mediate the characteristic L-shaped molecular structure. tRNAs have two regions of fundamental functional importance: the anti-codon, which is responsible for specific mRNA codon recognition, and the 3' end, to which the tRNAs corresponding amino acid is attached (by aminoacyl-tRNA synthetases). tRNAs cope with the degeneracy of the genetic code in two manners: having more than one tRNA (with a specific anti-codon) for a particular amino acid; and 'wobble' base-pairing, i.e. permitting non-standard base-pairing at the 3rd anti-codon position. Lineage: Eukaryota; Metazoa; Chordata; Mammalia; Artiodactyla; Camelidae. The record is from Rfam by way of RNAcentral. RNAcentral also lists the same sequence under 1 other name.
GGAGUUACAGCUCAGUGGUAGAGAGGGUGCUUAGCGUACAAGAGGUCCUGGGUUCAAUCCCCAGUACUUCCA